Long non-coding RNA from Etheostoma spectabile (orangethroat darter), 169 nucleotides. RefSeq lists it as uncharacterized. NCBI's taxonomy places the organism in Eukaryota, Metazoa, Chordata, Actinopteri, Perciformes, Percidae. The record is from RefSeq and is a predicted model, not a curated record. The transcript has 2 exons.
GUCAGAGGAGACUGUGUAGAAGGACAGAGAGCCAGCAGGACAGUCCACAUACACUGCUACUCUCUCAGAGAGAGGGGAGGAGGAGAGGACUGUUUCUCUGUUAUUGUGCCAGACAGAGUAACCAUCAUCAGAGCAGAACAGACUCCAGGACUGAUCAUUCCCUCCUAAC